CCGCGCUUGCGCGGCACCUCUGCGCCUGCGCGAGCUGCACGGCGCCGGCUGGGUUGUACGGGACGGCGGCCGCGGAGGGAGCCGGCUGUGCGGGCCAGGGAGACAGGGUUCGUUCCACGGCUGAGGGGCUGCGAACGUGCGGGAGUAGGUCCAAUGAUAGAGAGUGAAAGCCUGACUUUUCUUCUCCAAGUCUAAAUGCAAAAGACAACUCAGCAAGUCCCGCAUAUAAUUCGAAACUGUAAGCUUAAACAUUUGAAACGCACCAGGCUGGAGAUUCAACUGGACAAGCGCUCAGAGAGAUUGUCUGUGAACAGCAGCAGUUGAUAUACCGACCCCAUUUUCUGAUUAUGUCCGUUAUUGUUUGUGAACGUGUCCAUUAUCCAUUAUCCCAAGCAGGCUGGAUUGUGCAUCAGCUGAAUAUGGCCAUUGUCCUGCAAAAACUCCUCUGCAAAAGAUCCUCAACUUGUUUGUGUGUCUGGACUGAAAACUCUACAACCAUCAUUGGCUGUCUUCAAAAUAAACAUGAUCUAUCGUUUUUGUCUGAAAAGGAAUGCCAUUUGUGGUCCUCAAUUAUGUUUCUCGCAUGAAGAGGAAAUUCAUUGAUAUGAAAGGAACAAUAAAGAUACUGAAGACAUUUAUGCCCAGUAUUUUAAGUUCUGGUGUUUUGUUUGGAUGUGAUGAAAAUACAAAGGGCUUUUUGGAGAAGUAAUGAUGGGAACAAUGUCUCUGGCAAAUAACACAAAGAUUUAUGGAUUUUAUUUCUAUGUUGGUGAUCUAUUUAAAUACUACCUUUAUGCUGAAAUUUGUACAAGUCCUAAGUGGACAUAAUAAAUCAAUCAAAAUUAUACUGCAGAAAAAUAAACAACCCACAAUUAUAUCAAAUGAAGGGUAUUUUAUAUGUACAUAACAAAUAUCUGAAUGUCAUUCUCCAGUACACAGUCAAUAAAACUCCAGCAAGAGUCAUCUCUAGAUGCAUGCAGCUCUUGUUUUUAUCUUCUCUGCUUAAAUGGGUUCCUGCAUGACAGCCAAAGCAACUGGUUAACCACACCCAUGGAAGACUUUCUAUUUGCGUUUAAGAAUGCUUUUAUACGAGCUUGUUGUGUUUGCUUCAAUAGAUGCUGUUAAUAUUUUGCUCUGCUAAUACUUUACCUUCUUUUCAACUGGAAAAAAGUCUUUAGUGACAACAGUUAGCAGUCUAAAAAGAAUCAAAAAUUAUGCAUUAGGUUUGAUAGAAUUUUCAUUCAACAGACAGUAAUAAAGGUAAUUAUUUGAUUUCUUCAA
This is a long non-coding RNA of Serinus canaria (Common canary), 1281 nucleotides long. RefSeq lists it as uncharacterized. The record is from RefSeq and is a predicted model, not a curated record. The transcript is spliced from 4 exons. NCBI's taxonomy places the organism in Eukaryota, Metazoa, Chordata, Aves, Passeriformes, Fringillidae.